AAGCAUAUUAGCGGAAGUUUUCGGAUGGAAGCGGAUAUGACUUAGCGGCGGACGGGUGAGUAACGCGUGGAUAACCUGCCUCAUACAGGGGGAUAACAGUUAGAAAUGACUGCUAAUACCGCAUAAGCGCACAGGACCGCAUGGUCCGGUGUGAAAAACUCCGGUGGUAUGGGAUGGAUCCGCGUCUGAUUAGCUGGUUGGUGAGGUAACGGCCCACCAAGGCGACGAUCAGUAGCCGACCUGAGAGGGUGGCCGGCCACAUUGGGACUGAGACACGGCCCAAACUCCUACGGGAGGCAGCAGUGGGGAAUAUUGCACAAUGGGGGAAACCCUGAUGCAGCGACGCCGCGUGAGUGAGGAAGUAUUUCGGUAUGUAAAGCUCUAUCAGCAGGGAAGAAAAUGACGGUACCUGACUAAGAAGCCCCGGCUAACUACGUGCCAGCAGCCGCGGUAAUACGUAGGGGGCAAGCGUUAUCCGGAUUUACUGGGUGUAAAGGGAGCGUAGACGGCUAAUCAAGUCAGAAGUGAAAACCCAGGGCUCAACCUUGGGACUGCUUUUGAAACUGAGUAGCUAGAGUGCAGGAGAGGUAAGCGGAAUUCCUAGUGUAGCGGUGAAAUGCGUAGAUAUUAGGAGGAACACCAGUGGCGAAGGCGGCUUACUGGACUGUAACUGACGUUGAGGCUCGAAAGCGUGGGGAGCAAACAGGAUUAGAUACCCUGGUAGU
RNAcentral lists this ribosomal RNA (725 nucleotides) under uncultured bacterium. RNAcentral's name for it is "bacterial SSU rRNA". It matches the Rfam family "Bacterial small subunit ribosomal RNA", at positions 51 to 794 of the family's 1533-position model. The record is from RNAcentral.